CUUCUGCUGACAACAGCCCACAACCAUCUAGAAAACAUGAUUUCUACAAAGUCUUGAUCCUGGAAUGGAGCACACAGCCCCUUCUCCCCAGGCCAUGAUACUGCUGGUGGUGCAGAACGGAGUUUAGACAAGGAGGUGCAUGGCCGAGAGCAAUCUGGAAACGAUCAGAGAGGCCAGUUGCGUAAUGAUGGAGAAGCCGCUGUUUUGCAGCCACGAAAAUCAUGCCUGGAGAGAGAAUGUUCCGGGAUGUGAAAUUAUUCACAAUCUAUUGUUCAAAGAAGACAGUUGAUUAUGGGACGGAAGAGCUCCAGGAGAAGAGAGCUAAGCCAGCCCUUGGGAUGACUACAAGAGGACCGGGGGAGACAGGGAAACACAAGGGGAGUAGAAGGCUUCAGUAGAAGAUUUCAGUAGAGGCUGAAAUCUACUGAUAUGUACACCUCCAAGGACACAUGUGUCACAUCAGAAUAGUUGCUGAAUCCCACUGGGCCUCUAUUUCCUCAUGUGUAAAAUGGGAAUAAUAAAGCUCCUACUUCACAGGGCUGUGGAUUAGAUCAAAUGAGCUGAUGUGUGCAAAGCACUCAGAACAGGGCCUGCUGAUCGGGUGCAGUGGCUCAUGCCUGGCAUCCCAGUGCUUUGGGAGGCCAAGCUGAGAAGACCACUUAAAGCCAGGAGUUGGAGACCAGCCUGGGCAACAUAGGAAGAUUCUGUUUCAAAAAAGAACAAGGGCGGCCGGGCGUGGGGGCUCACGCCUGUAAUCC
RNAcentral lists this long non-coding RNA (758 nucleotides) under Homo sapiens (human). RNAcentral describes it as "HSALNT0399254". The record is from RNAcentral. Lineage: Eukaryota; Metazoa; Chordata; Mammalia; Primates; Hominidae.